RNAcentral lists this unclassified non-coding RNA (604 nucleotides) under Hevea brasiliensis (rubber tree). The record is from RNAcentral. Lineage: Eukaryota; Viridiplantae; Streptophyta; Magnoliopsida; Malpighiales; Euphorbiaceae.
GCACAAUACAACAAUUACUUGAGGGGCAUCAUAUGAAUUACAUUGAAUGUAUCCGUGUGGACUACAAAUCAACAAGAAAAGAAUCUUUUUAUGAUCUUCAGCUUGAUGUGAAAGGGUGUCGUGAUGUAUAUGCUUCAUUUGACAAGUAUGUUGAAGUGGAACGCCUCGAGGGCGACAACAAAUACCAAGCAGAACAACAUGGUUUACAGGAUGCUCGGAAAGGUGUCCUUUUCAUUGACUUCCCUCCUGUUCUUCAACUUCAGUUAAAACGCUUUGAAUACGAUUUUGUGCGGGAUGCUAUGAUCAAGAUAAAUGAUCGAUAUGAGUUCCCAUUGCAACUCGAUCUUGAUAGAGAGAAUGGAAAAUAUUUAUCUCCAGAUGCUGAUCGAAGUGUCCGCAAUCUCUAUUCUCUGCACAGUGUUUUAGUUCACAGCGGUGGGGUGCACGGGGGACACUAUUACGCAUAUAUCAGGCCUACACUGUCUGAUCAGUGGUAUAAAUUUGAUGAUGAGCGUGUGACAAAAGAAGAUACAAAGAGAGCACUGGAUGAACAAUACGGUGGUGAGGAAGAGUUACCCCACACAAAUCCUGGGUUCAAUAAUUC